This 474-nucleotide ribosomal RNA is filed under the name uncultured organism. Its description in RNAcentral is "partial 16S ribosomal RNA". It matches the Rfam family "Bacterial small subunit ribosomal RNA", at positions 334 to 799 of the family's 1533-position model. The record is from RNAcentral.
CACUCCUGCGGGAGGCAGCAGUGGGGAAUUUUGGACAAUGGGCGAAAGCCUGAUCCAGCAAUGCCGCGUGUGUGAAGAAGGCCUUCGGGUUGUAAAGCACUUUUGUCCGGAAAGAAAUCCUUGGCUCUAAUACAGUCGGGGGAUGACGGUACCGGACGAAUAAGCACCGGCUAACUACGUGCCAGCAGCCGCGGUAAUACGUAGGGUGCGAGCGUUAAUCGGAAUUACUGGGCGUAAAGCGUGCGCAGGCGGUUUGCUAAGACCGAUGUGAAAUCCCCGGGCUCAACCUGGGAACUGCAUUGGUGACUGGCAGGCUAGAGUAUGGCAGAGGGGGGUAGAAUUCCACGUGUAGCAGUGAAAUGCGUAGAGAUGUGGAGGAAUACCGAUGGCGAAGGCAGCCCCCUGGGCCAAUACUGACGCUCAUGCACGAAAGCGUGGGGAGCAAACAGGAUUAGAAACCCGAGUAGUCCCAUG